GAUGAACGCUGGCGGCGUGCCUAAUACAUGCAAGUCGAGCGAACGGACGAGAAGCUUGCUUCUCUGAUGUUAGCGGCGGACGGGUGAGUAACACGUGGAUAACCUACCUAUAAGACUGGGAUAACUUCGGGAAACCGGAGCUAAUACCGGAUAAUAUUUUGAACCGCAUGGUUCAAAAGUGAAAGACGGUCUUGCUGUCACUUAUAGAUGGAUCCGCGCUGCAUUAGCUAGUUGGUAAGGUAACGGCUUACCAAGGCAACGAUGCAUAGCCGACCUGAGAGGGUGAUCGGACACACUGGAACUGAGACAAGGUCAAGAAUACUACGGGAGGCAGCAGAAGGGAAUCUUCCGCAAUGGGCGAAAGCAUGACGGAGCAACGCCGCGUGAGUGAUGAAGGUCUUCGGAUCGUAAAACUCUGUUAUUAGGGAAGAAAAUAUGUGUAAGUAACUGUGCACAUCUUGACGGUAACUAAUCAGAAAGCCACGGCUAACUACGUG
RNAcentral lists this ribosomal RNA (497 nucleotides) under uncultured bacterium. RNAcentral describes it as "partial 16S ribosomal RNA". It matches the Rfam family "Bacterial small subunit ribosomal RNA", at positions 28 to 507 of the family's 1533-position model. The record is from RNAcentral.